GACGAACGCUGGCGGCGUGCUUAACACAUGCAAGUCGAACGGAAAGGCCCUGCUUUUGUGGGGUGCUCGAGUGGCGAACGGGUGAGUAACACGUGAGUAACCUGCCCUUGACUUUGGGAUAACUUCAGGAAACUGGGGCUAAUACCGGAUAGGAGCUCCUGCUGCAUGGUGGGGGUUGGAAAGUUUCGGCGGUUGGGGAUGGACUCGCGGCUUAUCAGCUUGUUGGUGGAGUAGUGGCUUACCAAGGCUUUGACGGGUAGCCGGCCUGAGAGGGUGACCGGCCACAUUGGGACUGAGAUACGGCCCAGACUCCUACGGGAGGCAGCAGUGGGGAAUAUUGCACAAUGGGCGGAAGCCUGAUGCAGCAACGCCGCGUGCGGGACGACGGCCUUCGGGUUGUAAACCGCUUUCGCCUGUGACGAAGCGUGAGUGACGGUAAUGGGUAAAGAAGCACCGGCUAACUACGUG
This 468-nucleotide ribosomal RNA is filed under the name uncultured bacterium. RNAcentral describes it as "partial 16S ribosomal RNA". It matches the Rfam family "Bacterial small subunit ribosomal RNA", at positions 28 to 507 of the family's 1533-position model. The record is from RNAcentral.